CAGUGUGGUUUAGCAGUGAGUCAGGUGACGCAGCUAGGAAGUUAGUUUGUCUGCAAAAAUGUAUUUUUAAAUUUGGUCCAGGAUGGGACCAGACGUGUUCCAAUUUCCUCGAACAGCUUUAAAAGCUGGAAAACACCCAGCUAUUGUCCGUGACUUAGACACAGGGCUUCCCGGAGGGAGAGAAGUGCUUUUUGGAGGGUCCCUUCCAGCUCCGAGAUUUCUCAGAGCCUUUCCAUCUUAGGGUGUUGGAGAAACAAGGAGCACGUGCAGAGUCUGAGCCCCCCCCACCCCACACUCACACACACACGCACAGUGUGAUCGUUUCGGCAGCGAGCCUGCGUGGGAUGCACAAGAAAAGAGAGAAGAGCUCUGGUAGCUGCCUGCCAACCCCUGGAUCCCCGGAGUCCCUUGGCUUGUGGCUGCGUCACUUGGGUCUCGGCCUCUGUUUUCACAUCACCGUCUCCUCUGCGUGUGUCGGCCUCCUCUACCUCGGCCUCUCUGAUAAGGAAGCUCAUCGUUGCACCCAGUGUCCACCUCGAGAAUCCAAGAUAAGAUGGUUUUUUUCUUAAGAUUCCCAAUCACUUCCUUUUGCCUAGAAGGUAAUAUCCACAGGUUCUGGGGAUUAGGAGGGGAAGGUAUUUUUGGGAGACGUGUUUCCUGCCCAGCAGAGAUGGAAAGAACUCAGAGGAGAGGAGACAAGAAAGGAGUUCCUUGUUUCCUUACAGGUCUGUCUCACCAGUCAACCUUCUGUGUGUGGUUCUCCCCCAUUUAAAAGUUUCCAGAGGACCCGACCCAUACUAGGAUCACCUGGGAAUUUUAUUUUGUCUUUAAAUCAUUUUUUAAUUAAUUUUUAACAUUGUUUUUUAUUUGUGAGAGAGAGAGAGAGAGAGUGCACAUGGAGGAGGGGCAGAGAGAGAGAGGAAGGCACAGAAUCUGAAGCAGACUCCAGGCUCCGAGCUGUCAGCACAGAGCCCGACGCGGGGCUCGAAUCCACGAACGCCCAUGCCGCAAGCUCCUGGGGGCUUUUGCAGUUGGAAACCCGGAUGACCAACCUCGGUGACACCCCACAGAAGCCAUUCUAGCCCCCGUUGAAGCCAUAAAUAUAUAUUCAGAGUGAUAAAAAUCCAGCCCGACCACUACAGACGACAGUCCUAGAACGUAUCCCUCGAGGUUCCCAUAGAAAUAUCACCGCAAAAUGCUCAUUUACCAUCAUCCUUUCUAGACAGGGCCGUUUUGGUGAAAUGACUUUUGGAGAUACUGUCUUACCGUUCGCGGGUGUUUAUACCAGGCUCUUUAAAAUAGAAUGUUCUUUUCCUUUCAGAGC
Long non-coding RNA from Panthera uncia (snow leopard), 1324 nucleotides. RefSeq lists it as uncharacterized. NCBI's taxonomy places the organism in Eukaryota, Metazoa, Chordata, Mammalia, Carnivora, Felidae. The record is from RefSeq and is a predicted model, not a curated record. The transcript is spliced from 3 exons.